Long non-coding RNA from Arachis stenosperma, 199 nucleotides. RefSeq lists it as uncharacterized. The record is from RefSeq and is a predicted model, not a curated record. Lineage: Eukaryota; Viridiplantae; Streptophyta; Magnoliopsida; Fabales; Fabaceae. The transcript is spliced from 3 exons.
AGCACCUCAUCAAGCACCGAGCCUCUCGAUAAAGAUACAAAGAACCUAGAUUGCUUGCUAUUCAAAGGCUUGAGAUUGCAAAAAUUGAUUUGCAGCACAGAAUUGCAAAGGAGGCUAGAGGCAAUGCUAUUUUACAAGCAAGCUUAGAAAGAAGGAAGCAAGCUCUGCACGAGCAGCGAUUGGCACUUGAACAAGAUGU